CGCUCAAUAUACGAAAAAUAUAGCACAAAGCACCCACGCUUUUAUCACAAUAAUACUAGUACUUUUCGUUCAUUAUUGUUUUACGCUUAUUUUAAAAAUUAUUUUUAACUUUUUAGUUCGAUGUUCUUUAAAAGCGUGUUUUUUAGUUUUUUUAAACUAUAUUUAUUUUUCACUUUUUAGUUACAUGUUAUGAUAGUAGUUACUAUCAAUAUCAUGGUUGUAACGGGUAAAGGGGAAUCAGGGUUCGAUUCCGGAGAGGGAGUCUGAGAAACGGCUACCACAUCCAAGGAAAGCAGCAGGCGCGCAACGUGGAGGUAGUGACGUAAAAUGACGAUACGGGAAUCAUCCUUUGUAAUCGGAAUAAAUACCCUAUAUAUCUCUUAAUGAGAAUAAAGCGUAUUAAUAUAUAAGUUUUAAUAGUAAUUAGAAUAUAUAUUUAUAUAUAUAUAUAUAUACAUGUAAAGCGACUUAAGUACGUAAACGUAUCAUGCACGAGGUAUAGCUGUGUUUUGUUGGCGGGCGGGGCGCGAGGCAUAUAUGGCGGUAGCGGCGUCGGCUGUAGGGAUAUAUAAAUGAAUAUUAACAUAUACGUAUAUAUAAAUAAUAAUAUAUAUAUGUAUAUAUAUAUUAAUAUUAGCGGCGAUGGUAAGAAUAUAUAAUCUUCGCAUAAUAACGUAGCACUUUCGUUGGCGUCGACGACGCGAUGUCCGGCGUGAUCCUCGGGCGUCAAAAGGUUAGCAGCGUUGAUGGCGACAGUACGCGAGUGGAGAUAGGUUUAUUGACGUUGCCACUUUGACAACAGGAAGAAUACUACGGUAUCCUUAGCGGCGGUACGUCGUCGGCCGUGCGGCACUUGCUGGACUUUGCACCGCGGCGUAUAACGCGCGGUGUUGGUCAGUCAAAUACUCAAAAUUAUACAGAAAAAAAUAGUGUUGGCACCGACUGGUGAGCGGGGUGGGGUGAAUGCGUUACGACGGUCUAGUCUCAAGGUCAUAGACGACGGCAUACGCGACAUAAUAACACGUGCCGCGUGGAGUUACAAACUUACAACAUACAACAUACAAACAAUAUACAUGUGAAACUAAUAUAAGCGUGUUAAAAUCAUUCUGUACUAUUCACGGAGUCGUAGCAUGAUUUUGUCUUCUCCUAUAAAUUACUUCUAUUUAUUUUAACAAAAUAGAACACGACGGUUUCAAAAUAACAACUGUUAGAGGAAAAAUUUUUUUUUAAUUUUUUUAAAAAUAUUUUUUUAAGUUUGAAGUUGAUCUUGUAGUGGGUAGAAAGCGUUGAUGGUAACAGGUGGUUCAAUUCAGAUAAUAUCUAUUUUUUUUUAUAUAUUAUAUGAAAUGAAAAUCAAUAAAAGAAGCUAUAGAGAGCCUUUAGAAAUAGGGUUUGACAAAAUAACGAAAACCAAUGCCGUAAGUUAUCAAGAAACAUUUUAAAAUGUAUAUUUAUCAAAAGGUGACAAUGUAGGAGGUGAGUAGUGCAAAUGACGUUCAAGAGGAGAAAAGAACGGGGUGAUUGUACACACUAAUGCCGUAUAUGAGUUGAUUUGAAGUAAUACACAGCUGACACAUCUUGAACGCCCACAAACAAAUCACAUCACCUUAUCAUAGUACGGUAGAUAAUAAACAUGUGUUGCAAAGACGUUUAUUCGCUGUCGACUCAAUCAAAGGUAUUCCAUCGUGAUUCUGUGUUGAUGGCCAAGGCAUGCACCACCGGUUUCGGUGGCGCUGUUGUCAACACCGACAACAUCGCGCGUGUCUGUACCUAUGGACCAGUUGCAUUUGCACCACCAUCGGCGCGGGCUGAUGUAAGAAUGUGUUUUUUAUUGAUUGUUGUUGUUACUUGGUUUGGUCAGUAACGGACAUAACAAAAUCAUAUACACAAACGGCACCUAUUACAUGUUUUUACCAUUCACGGAACAUAUCGAGUUGCAAGGCAAGGCGGCUACAGAAUAAUUUCCAACAGUUUUUAAAAGAUUGUAGUUUCAAAACAAAAGGAAAAUAUUAAUAAAACAUUUGCAAAACAUACAAACAAAUGAGGGCUCCAUUUUUGUAACGUCUCAAGGUAUAAAUUGAUCAUGGCAGAUAAAAAAAGAACUGUAAGCAAUUCGGAAAUCGGACGAUUGGUGUUUGAGAUGCAAAAAAACAUUGUAAACAUUAUGAAUAGACGAAGUGACAGAUGACAGUCGUGGAAGAUUCUCAGUUGAUGAUAUAUGGACUUGACUGAACCAUACGUAAACGAAUGGUAGUUUUGAAGAAACUUGAGCUCUACUAAGUUAGUUUGAGUUGGGGUAUUUGAAUUACGUUUUGUGAAUAUGCGACGAAAACCAAUAAUAGGAACCGGCGAUUCAACCUUCACAAAAUUCCUCCUCUGUUGAGGUAUCCAGGCGGAUGAUACCGUGAGAGUAUAUUAAAAUAAGCGGGAUUGAAGCUUUUACGUUCAUACUAGUUAGAAGGCAAGCAUUGGCAGAUUUGAUAGAAUCAAAUAAAACUUUAACUCUGGAGUCAAUAAGAGUUAUUUGUUUCAUACCGCCGAAUUUGUUGUGGGAAAGUUUCCCAAUUUUUAGCGGGCGUAAUUUGGCGAUACUUUGUCGCUGACCAUGGAUACAACGAUAAUUACCGGGGUCCCGUUAAAAUUGUUCGAAAAAGAUUUCAGGUUAGAAUUUACACUCGAAUUAUUAGUAAUUUUUUUUUACGGUACACGAAUGUAUUGUUUCAGAAUCAUUGUUUACUAUAUUUGGCGUAUUUGUGUUAUAUAUAUCAAGGUCGCUAUUGUUAUUCAUAACAUUAUCGAUAUCCAUAGUAUUAGAAUUACUAUCCAACGUUAGAGUAAUGGCAUCACUAAGAUAUGCCGUAUUAGUUUCAUUCUUAUCGGCCGAUUCUUUAAUAUUGUACUGAAAUUGUAUGUUAGCUGGGAGUAGUUGCAGUUGAUUAUCUAAUAAGUAUUGUAGAUUCGGAGAAACCGGGCUGGUAGGAAGUUUUUUAGACUUACGUUUCGCACUGGCAGAUGACCAUUCGUCGGAGUCUUUUCGAUUUUUGUGCAAAGUUACUUUUAAUGGGGCCAGAACCGUUAUUAGGUGGACGGCCCGGUCCACCCGGUGAAUUGGGCAUACGGAAACUUAAAAAGAAGAAAUUAUGCAAGACUACUUAUGUGAGUUAGAGAUAUACAUCUAAACGCGAUAAUACUAUUCGUAUAAGGAAAACCGGAUUCACAGGUGCGUAAUAAUAACACGACUUAUCGCUACGAUAGCUGAAGCCGAACUGAUGUUGAAUAGUUGGGACAAGUAUAAAUGAAAUCUGACAGAGAUAAAAUUACUAAUGAAAUGCUUCCAUGCAAAUCUAUAGAUAGUGUUUAAUUUAUAGAAUAAAUUGUUUGAUUAUCCCAAAAGCAAAAUGAAAUACUAUUUUUCAGAAUUAUAUCCUGAUUACAAGUUUUAUAAUUUAUAAGUAUAAUAAAUGAAUAAAUACUUAUAGUAAUUAAAUUUAGCAUGAAAUUGAUAUUCAUUAAUUUAAUAUUGUAAUUUUUACGUAGAAUUUAGGAUAUAGAAUAUAGUUCUAAAUAUUUCAAUUAUUGCAUUUAUUUAAACACCAAAAGCUAAGAGUAAAUAAAAUAAUUUAUCAUAAUAAUUUUAUUCAUUAUUAUGAAUUAAAUCAUUUAAUAAAAGGUACUCACCGUUAUUCCAUAAUGU
Molecule: long non-coding RNA, 3694 nt
Organism: Daktulosphaira vitifoliae (grape phylloxera)
Lineage: Eukaryota; Metazoa; Arthropoda; Insecta; Hemiptera; Phylloxeridae
Exons: 4
Source: RefSeq, a predicted model, not a curated record